CAGAGUGUUCAUGCCCUCUGGGCAGACCUCCCACCCACUGUUAUCUCUACGACCGUUGCUUUGGCGGGAUGCCGGGCCCUCCCGGCCGCCAGCCCGCUGGCGCGCGCCCGCCAGAGGCUCCGCAGACUCUGUAUGUUUGUGUCGUCUGAGUGUCACAUAAUCGUUA
This 166-nucleotide unclassified non-coding RNA is filed under the name uncultured Leotiomycetes. RNAcentral's name for it is "sequence contains ITS1". Lineage: Eukaryota; Fungi; Ascomycota; Leotiomycetes. The record is from RNAcentral.